Pan troglodytes (chimpanzee) is the source of this 148-nucleotide non-coding RNA. It matches the Rfam family "Metazoan signal recognition particle RNA". From Rfam's summary of the family: The signal recognition particle (SRP) is a universally conserved ribonucleoprotein. It is involved in the co-translational targeting of proteins to membranes. Lineage: Eukaryota; Metazoa; Chordata; Mammalia; Primates; Hominidae. The record is from Rfam.
GCUGGGCAUGGUAGCGUGUACCUGUAAUCCCAGCUACUUGGGAGGCUGAGGCAGGAGGAUUGCUUGAACCCAGGGGGCGGAGGUUGCAGUGAGCUGAGAUCGAGCCACUGCACUCCAGCCUGGGUGACAGAGCGAAACUCUGUCUCCA